UCGUAAUACAAUUUGAAACAGUUUUAUUAUAUUACAUCGUUUAUCGCUUUUCAAAUUAUUUUGAUAUUACAAAACCAGCGCAACGUUCCUUAGACAUCGAUAAAAAUUUUAAAUAUUAAGAAAUCAGUAUGAAAUUCAUUGCUAACCUAACGUCAGUGUACUUAGUAUUUUAUCUCCUCAUUAAACGGUGUAAUGGAGUUAUUUACACGUACGAGGACGUUGAAUUGAGAAGAAUUUUCCCGAGUGAAUUUCCACAGGAUACGAUAAGAAGAAGUGGUGUACUUUAUCCUGAACAUCUUGGUCGUUACAAGGAGUUAAAAGGUUACUUUUUUAAGCCUAAAUCGUCAGUCAAUUCCCAUUUCGAAGAACUAGCCUGCUACGACGAUCAUGGUAAAAAGGUGUGUCGCUUAGACUCCGACCGAUAUUCCCUCGAAGAAAAUCAGUAUUACAUGAAUGAAGCUCAGGAAAGCCACGUGGACCAGAGACGAGUGUACUGUUACAUGUUACUCUGUUUCACUGAGGACGAGCUCGACAGGGUUGUGUCAUCCUUCCAGAUAUGAAUGAAAAUAUAAAAAUAACAAUAAAUUGUACUAAGAUAACUUAUACGUCUCGAUACGAGUAGAGUCUCUUACUUACAACUGAUAAAAACAGACCAGGAAUAUUAGUUUCGUGUGCGUGACAAGCUAAGUCUUACACUCGCGAUUUGUAUGACACUUUGUGUUUGUGUACGUGAAUCGCUCUAAAUAGAGGUUAGUCCUAAACACAAUUUUUUUCGACGUCUAUCUUGACGUAUAAAUGAUCUAAGAAAUUCUAAUUAAAUUUGUGUAAUUAAUCCCAGAAGUGGGGGUUAUCAUAUUAAAAAAAGCAUAUUAUUUAGAUUUAAAAGAGCGAUAUCUCAAGUAAUUUACCUAAUAUGUAAUUAUUGGGGUUAACAGGUUAUCAACUGUGAAGUAGAUCUAGUAGAUGAAGCCACAAUAGAUAACCAGAGAGCUGAACAAGACAUACCAAGAUUUACGAUACAUGCGUCACUCGAACGGUUGGCUCAGUUGGUAAGAGCGUUUGGACAGAGCAAGAACCGCAUCUUAAUCGUUCAUAAAUUUUGUUUAUAUUUUUUUUAAUUCCAAAAAUGAGGGAUAUUACUUAUAAAUAACAAAUAUAUAAUGAAUUCUU
Long non-coding RNA from Leptidea sinapis, 1170 nucleotides. RefSeq lists it as uncharacterized. The record is from RefSeq and is a predicted model, not a curated record. The transcript has 5 exons. Lineage: Eukaryota; Metazoa; Arthropoda; Insecta; Lepidoptera; Pieridae.